AUCAAACUCUGUCGGGGGAGGAUUCAUACACCAGGUUGUGUUUUUCAGCGGACAGUCUUAACAGGUCAAGGCUACUCGUUAGACCGUUGAUAAAAAUGUUUCUCAUGUUUGUUUUGUUCUGUUUGUCCUGGUGGAGUCUGAUCGAUGUGUUUGGUGAGUCAGUGUCAGUGAUCGAAUGCGAUUCUGUUACUUUACACACUGAUAUUACUGAAAUACAUGAAGACGAUGAUAUAUUGUGGAAAUUUGGAACUGAAAAAUCCCUCAUAGCUAAAAUCAGGAAAGCUGCUGGAAUCUUCUCCACAUAUAGCAGUGCUGAUGGGAGAUUCAGAGACAGACUGAAGCUGGACAAACAAACUGGAUCUCUGACAAUCACAAACAUCUCAACAUGCUGGAUGUUAUGAAGUACGGAUAAUUGGAGCAAAAUUGUCAUUAAAAACAUUCAGUGUUUCUGUCUAUGCUCGUCUGCCUGUUCCUAACAUUACCAGAGACUGUUCUUCAUCAUCAUCAUCAUCAUCACAGCAAAAUUGUUCAUUGUUGUGUUCAGUGGUGAAUGUGGUGAAUGCGACUCUCUCCUGGUUCAAAGGAAACAGUUUAUUGUCCAGCAUCAGUGUGUCUGAUCUCAGCAUCAGUCUCUCUCUACCUCUGGAGGUGGAAUAUCAGGAUAAAAACACCUACAGCUGUGUGAUCAACAAUCCCAUCAGCAACCAGAUCACACAUCUGGACAUCAGCAAACUCUGUCACACAUGCGCAGGUACGCCUUCAUCUGUGGUGAUAUAGCAUUUAUUUACUUAAUCAAACCAUCACAUUCACUUACAUUAAAGUAUCUCUUUUACUCUCCUUCAGUUGUUGUUAUGUUCAGCUAUUAGCGAUUACUGUCUCCCUGAAUAUAGUAUAUUGAUUGCCUGUGCUAGUUCUUAUACAUAGGGCAUGUGAUUUAUGUUUGGAGUUUCUAACUACGGGUGCUGUGUAUGAAAUGCCCCACUAUUUACUGUUUUCUGUGAAUUUGAAAUGUGUUCACAGUCUUACAUGACCAGUGUACAUAAUCAAGAUAUUUAUCAGACAAUUCCAUAUGGCUGCUAUUGUUGUUAAUAAAGUAUAUUCCUUGUAACUCUUA
Labeo rohita (rohu) is the source of this 1114-nucleotide long non-coding RNA. RefSeq lists it as uncharacterized. NCBI's taxonomy places the organism in Eukaryota, Metazoa, Chordata, Actinopteri, Cypriniformes, Cyprinidae. The record is from RefSeq and is a predicted model, not a curated record. The transcript has 3 exons.